UUACAUAUGCAGUGACAGUAUUGCAGCCAAUAUGAUUAAUCCAAGGUGCAAUUAUUGCCAAUUGAAAAAGAAUGUGAUAUAAAAUAUUUUAAAGAAAUAAAUGUAUUAAGCAUCUGAAUAGGU
This is a non-coding RNA of Podarcis lilfordi (Lilford's wall lizard), 123 nucleotides long. The record is from the annotation of a GenBank genome assembly. NCBI's taxonomy places the organism in Eukaryota, Metazoa, Chordata, Lepidosauria, Squamata, Lacertidae.